GAGCGGACAGAUGGGAGCUUGCUCCCUGAUGUUAGCGGCGGACGGGUGAGUAACACGUGGGUAACCUGCCUGUAAGACUGGGAUAACUCCGGGAAACCGGGGCUAAUACCGGAUGCUUGAUUGAACCGCAUGGUUCAAUUAUAAAAGGUGGCUUUUAGCUACCACUUACAGAUGGACCCGCGGCGCAUUAGCUAGUUGGUGAGGUAACGGCUCACCAAGGCAACGAUGCGUAGCCGACCUGAGAGGGUGAUCGGCCACACUGGGACUGAGACACGGCCCAGACUCCUACGGGAGGCAGCAGUAGGGAAUCUUCCGCAAUGGACGAAAGUCUGACGGAGCAACGCCGCGUGAGUGAUGAAGGUUUUCGGAUCGUAAAACUCUGUUGUUAGGGAAGAACAAGUACCGUUCGAAUAGGGCGGUACCUUGACGGUACCUAACCAGAAAGCCACGGCUAACUACGUGCCAGCAGCCGCGGUAAUACGUAGGUGGCAAGCGUUGUCCGGAAUUAUUGGGCGUAAAGCGCGCGCAGGCGGUUUCUUAAGUCUGAUGUGAAAGCCCCCGGCUCAACCGGGGAGGGUCAUUGGAAACUGGGGAACUUGAGUGCAGAAGAGGAGAGUGGAAUUCCACGUGUAGCGGUGAAAUGCGUAGAGAUGUGGAGGAACACCAGUGGCGAAAGGCGACUCUCUGGUCUGUAACUGACGCUGAGGCGCGAAAGCGUGGGGAGCGAACAGGAUUAGAUAC
This 741-nucleotide ribosomal RNA is filed under the name Bacillus sp. DBT22. RNAcentral's name for it is "bacterial SSU rRNA". It matches the Rfam family "Bacterial small subunit ribosomal RNA", at positions 64 to 785 of the family's 1533-position model. Lineage: Bacteria; Bacillati; Bacillota; Bacilli; Caryophanales; Bacillaceae. The record is from RNAcentral.